GACGAACGCUGGCGGCGUGCUUAACACAUGCAAGUCGAACGGAAAGGCCCUGCUUUUGUGGGGUGCUCGAGUGGCGAACGGGUGAGUAACACGUGAGUAACCUGCCCUUGACUUUGGGAUAACUUCAGGAAACUGGGGCUAAUACCGUAUAGGAGCUCCUGCUGCAUGGUGGGGGUUGGUAAGUUUCGGCGGUUGGGGAUGGACUCGCGGCUUAUCAGCUUGUUGGUGGGGUAGUGGCUUACCAAGGCUUUGACGGGUAGCCGGCCUGAGAGGGUGACCGGCCACAUUGGGACUGAGAUACGGCCCAGACUCCUACGGGAGGCAGCAGUGGGGAAUAUUGCACAAUGGGCGGAAGCCUGAUGCAGCAACGCCGCGUGCGGGAUGACGGCCUUCGGGUUGUAAACCGCUUUCGCCUGUGACGAAGCGUGAGUGACGGUAAUGGGUAAAGAAGCACCGGCUAACUACGUG
This 468-nucleotide ribosomal RNA is filed under the name uncultured bacterium. RNAcentral's name for it is "partial 16S ribosomal RNA". It matches the Rfam family "Bacterial small subunit ribosomal RNA", at positions 28 to 507 of the family's 1533-position model. The record is from RNAcentral.